GAGUACAUGAGAGUGGGGAGGGUUAGAGAGAGAAAUAGGCCCCUCGCCGAGCAGGGACCCGAUGCGGGACUCAAAGCCGGGACUCCAGGAUCAUGACCCAAGCCAAAGGCAGUCGCUUAACCAACUGAACCACCCAGAAGCCCGGGACCCGCAUGCUUUUAAAUACAAUCCAGCCUCUCGGUGCGACAGCCAACACUUCCACCCUAGGAAGGCGACGGGGUGUCCUGGGAAUUCUGGGAAGUGUAGUCCGGGAACACAGCGCCGCAGGAUAACUUCCGCUGUAGGAGGCCGAGGCUGCGUCCCUGCUCCCGUCGGGAAUUCUGGGAAGCGUAGUCCAAGAGCUCACUGUCGGCAGAGUCGCUUCCGCUCCAGGUACGCGAGGCCGCGGCCUUCAUUACUCUGCGAAAGCUUUUCCAGUUACUGCAGUGUGCAGCAGCAUGAGCAGCAAAGUCUCCUGGGACAGGCUGUACAAAGCAAUGAGGGAAGUCCUGCACAGCAACCAGCACAAGCACUGGAAGUUUUCAGAGACUGUGGAGCUGCAAACCAGCCUGAAGAACUAUGACCCUCAGAAGGACAAACCCUCCUUGGGCACCAUCAGGCUUAAUUAAGUCUACUCCUUGCCCUAAGUUCUCCAUGUGUGAUUUAGGGGAUCAGCAGUACUGUGAUGAGGUCAAGGCCGUGGAUAUUCCCCACAUUGGCAUGGAGGCACUGAAGACUCAGUAAGAAUAAAAAAUUAGUCAAGAAGUUGGCCAAGAAGUAUGAUGCCCUUUUGGCUUCAGGGUCCCUGAUCAAGCAGAUCCACUAAUUCUGGGCCCAGGCCUGAAUAAGCCUGGUAAGUUCCCUUCCUUGUUGACCCACAAUGAGAACAUGGUGGCCAAAGUGGAUGAAGUGAAGUCCACAAUCAAAUUCCAAAUGAAGAAGGUGUUGUGUCUGGCAGUGGCCAUUAGCCAUGUGAAGAUGACAGAUGAUGAGCUUGUGUACAACAUCCACUUAGCUGUCAAUUUCCUGGUGUCCUUGCUCAAGAAGAACUGACAGAACAUCUGGGCUUUAUACAUGAAAAGCAUCAUGGCCAAACCCCAGCGCCUGUACUAAGGCACAGCUUAAUAAGCCCUAGUGCUGCCAUUAAAACAAAAACAAAAGCCUCUCAAUGCUUCAGUAUUCUCAACAGUAAAAAUUGUCUUAAUCCUUUGGGUUGUUAGGAUUAAACAAGGCAAUUCCUCUAAAGCAUGUGAUUUGGUUCUUGACUUCUCACCACUUUUCGGCUUCUUAUUUGCCCCAGGUACUGUCUGUUUGAAUACUCUUCUGUUUGAGUACUGUUCUGUUUGAGUACCCUGUUGAGCUUUGAGUGGCUAAUAUGGCACUGUCAUCCUCCAGGGCUAACAUCAGGCCUCAUUUUCUUCAUUGAGCCCAUCUCUCUCCCUUAUCCAGGCUAGGUCUGGGGACCCUUUCCAUGUUUCCCCAAAGGACCCUGUUUACACUCUACUCUGGCAUCUGUCAGUGUGUAAUAGCUCAUUUUCUAAUUGGUCUCCCACACUUAGGCUCAGAGCAACUAGAGAUCUAGGAACUAUAUCCCUCUCAGAAGGUGAUCUAUAAAUAUCGGGUAAGUGAAAGAAAACUCAACUCUCACUGCUAACUACGAAGCCAAGUCAAUACUUGUUCUUGGUAGUUGUACAUACAUUCCGUGGAUUCUUCAGCUGUGGGCUAUGUAGGCAGGGACUCAGGAGGAGAGGGGGACUCUGCUGGGGGAGAAGACCUCUCUCUAAGGUGGUGCAAGAAGGCUCUACCUUAUUCACAGGCCACCAUCAGCCCUUUUUUGAGUUCUUUCUCUUCCACAAAUGAUCUUGAAGUUGCUUGAAAACAGUAAAUAACAGUAAAUACCUGUUGAAAACAAUAAAUAACCUUGCCCAAGAAAUUAAACUUCUGGUCCCCAAGUCCUUGCAAGCAUCAAGUGCUGAGCCAGUGCUUUACACAGAUAAGAGCAAUAUGGUGGCAUCACAGGCUUCUUUAAUCUUUCAUUAUAUCCAUGUAGGAGAGGGAUAUGCUAUCUGAGACUCCUCUGGCUUCAAGAAGAAUAUGGGGACAGGUGGUUGCUAUACUUGUGGUGAACAUAGAAUAAUGUAUAAACUUGUGGAAUCACUGUGUUGUACACCUGAAACUAAUGUAACAUUAUGUGUCAACUAUACUCAAAUGAAAAGAAAUAAAUAAUAAAAUAAAAAUAAUUUUAAAAAAGAAUAUCCAUCAGUCAUUAAACUUUUCAGAAGGGUGGUCUCAAUGUCUAAACAAACGUUAUUAUGGGGGCAACAGAUUAUUAAGUAAGAGGCCAUCUUUGCCACCCAGAUGUCUUAUGAGACACAUUU
Molecule: long non-coding RNA, 2357 nt
Organism: Zalophus californianus (California sea lion)
Lineage: Eukaryota; Metazoa; Chordata; Mammalia; Carnivora; Otariidae
Source: Ensembl